This 253-nucleotide ribosomal RNA is filed under the name uncultured bacterium. RNAcentral's name for it is "partial 16S ribosomal RNA". It matches the Rfam family "Bacterial small subunit ribosomal RNA", at positions 524 to 776 of the family's 1533-position model. The record is from RNAcentral.
UACGUAGGGUCCAAGCGUUAUCCGGAAUCACUGGGCGUAAAGCGUGCGUAGGCGGCGUGUUAAGUGUGAUGUUAAAUCGUGGGGCUCAACCCUGUCGAUGCAUCGCAUACUGGCAUGCUAGAGGACGGCAGAGGCAAGUGGAAUUGGUAGUGUAGCAGUGAAAUGCGUAGAUAUUACCAGGAACACCAAUGGCGAAGGCAGCUUGCUGGGCCACUCCUGACACUGAGGAGCGAAAGCGUGGGGAGCGAACAGG